Molecule: long non-coding RNA, 19678 nt
Filed under: Sorghum bicolor (sorghum)
Lineage: Eukaryota; Viridiplantae; Streptophyta; Magnoliopsida; Poales; Poaceae
Description: long non-coding RNA (SBIC_LNC015347)
Source: RNAcentral
AAGGGCGAGGUGAGCUCGUUGGGUGGUGGAGCCCCCCCCCGUUCUGUCUCGCUGUUGCCUUUCUCGUCGUCCUCCUCUCUCCUCUGUGCGCAGUGAAGUGUUGUGCUGCUCUGCCACUGCCACCAGCAUUUACCAGCCGCUUGCUCGCCUUUCUCUUUCUCGGUUAGCUCGCCAUUUUUUUUUUAAUCAGCAAUAAACAAACAAAAGCUCGCCGAGCUGAGCUGACAGCUGAGCAGCACUAGCUUCAGCAGCGAGUGAGAACUCCCACUUCCAUUGCCUGCUUGCUUCUGCUUCCCUGCAUCUGCGAGCGUUCCGGCGGCGGCGGCCGCCGGCCCGGCCGACUCAGCGGCGACCGCGACCAUGAAGGGCGUCGACGAUGCGUUCCUCGGCGUCGGCGACAAGCCGUGCGUCCCCUCCCCUCUCAUCCUCUCUUGUCCUUUCCGUUUUGUUCUUUUACUGUCCUGUUCGGUUGGAGUAUUGUUCUCUGCUAGCUAGGACAAGAAUCUAGAUUCGGGCCUGCAUUUGAAUAUGCCUCGCGCAUCCUACUCCUGCUGCCUUUAUUUAUUCCCUUUUUUCCUUUAUAUAGUAUAAGGGAUGCAGACUUUUUUGCUUAGGAACCAAUUAUUUACCUGCAAAGUUGCUUGCUAUGAAAAAUAACAAGACUACUCCAAGCAUGAUCUCACUCUUUUUGUUAUGAUAUGAAAAAUAUGGAUCCUUAUGAUUCUGAAAGUGAAUCUGGGAUGCUAGGAGGGAAAUGGCUUCCAUGAUGCUCAAACUGAAACCUGAAUGUACCAUUUAAUCUGGCCAAUUUACUUUUCUCUAUUUCACCCCUGCUCUGUAAAAUUCCAGAGGGCUGGACAUUUGGUGCAUUGUUGGGAGCAGUCUGGUCCCGGUUGCAAAACCCCAGCACGGCAAGUUCUACACCGGCAGCACCUACAUCAUACUGAAUGUAUGUACUCCUAUCUCUGCGCCAAAUCGGGCCUCUCCCGGUGUGAAAUCGUGUAGCUCGUUGCCAAUUUUCGCAGCUUGAGUUGACAUGUUGUGCAUUUUCUCAGACAACCGAGCUGAAAUCCGGGGCUCGUCGACACAAUGUGCAUUACUGGGUUGGGGAGGAGGCCAAAGAGGUGUGUGCUCUUGAUGCACCAAAGUCAAAGCUUUUGGUUUGCUGUGCCUCAUUUUGCUUAUGGAUGACUUUUUUGUGUCCUCUGCACUGCGUUGUGGUUAUGGACUCACCUAGGACGAUUGCCUCAUGGCCUCAGACAAGGCUGUUGAGUUGGACGCGGCACUGGGCUCCAGCACGGUCCAGUACAGGGAAACACAGGGUGAAGAAUCUGACAAGUUCUUGUCAUACUUCAAACCGUGUGUCAUCCCAGUACAAGGCUGCUUCUUUUCACACCUGAAAGGAUCUGGUGAUAGAUCCAACGCGACCACGAUGUUUAGAUGCCAAGGAGAGCACAUUGCUCGCGUCACACAAGUAAGAGGGCUACUAUCUCAAGAUUUUCAUUAGUUUGCUGAAAAGCUGAUGCAAGACAAACCUGCUGUGUUUCUAAUCCUGUCUCAGAUUCCAUUUACGCGGUCCUCUCUGGAUCACAAAUCGGUUUUUAUAGUGGACACGCCGUCGAAGAUCUUCCUUUUCAGUGGCUGUAAUUCUAGUUUGCAAACAAGGGCGAAAGCGUUGGAUGUUGUUAAGCAUCUGAAGGAGAACCGACACUUGGGCAGAUGUGAGAUCGCGGCAAUAGGUACAGCUAUAGACAGUUGAUCUUUCAAAAUAAUGGCUUGAAAGAUGCUAUCUCCAAUUUUAUUUACAUUGUCACUGGUUGUAGAGGAUGGAAAGCUUGUUGGUGAUUCUGAUGCUGGUGAGUUCUGGAACCUGUUUGGAGGCUAUGCACCUAUUCCUCGUGAUUUACCUGACACAGUCAAGGAAGAGCCACUGACUGCACCAUCCAAGAAACUUUUUUGGUAACUGAUCCCCUGCUUAGUUCAAACUGAACUGGCCUGAAGUUGCAUGUCGUGAGAUGUUUGGUAUGCUGUUUGGUAUGCUUUCCUGCCUGCAGGAUCAAUAAGAGAAACCUUGUUCCAUUGGAGGCACAUUUGUUGGAUAGAGAAAUGCUGAACUCAGACAGAAGUUACAUGCUGGACUGUAGCACUGAAAUAUUCUUAUGGAUGGGGAUGACAACACUAGUUUCGGAGAGGAAGUCAUCUGUUACUGUCUUAGAAGUAAGCAGUUGGAACCUCAUUAUAUUCCUUUCUUUCUUUUAUUACUACAAGAGUUUGAAAAUAAUAUAUCUUUUCAUUUCUCUAGGAUUAUAUGCACUCCCAGGGCAGGUCAUUCAAUGUUCGCACAUUUAUAAUGACAGAAGGUCAUGAAACUGUUGACUUUAAGCUGCACUUUCAGCAUUGGCCCAGGAAUGUUGAACUAAAGUUAUAUGAGGCUGGCCGAGAGAAAGUGGCAGGUGUGAGGACCAUGGUGAUUUUGUCCAUCAAUUGUUUUUAUCUAGAACAUUGUAAAAGUCUUGAUAGAGUCUGAUGCUAAAUCAUGGUACAGCUAUUUUCAAGCAUCAGGGUUAUGAUGUCACAGAAAUUCCAGAGGAUAAACCUCAGCAGCUCAUCAGUUGUAAUGGCAGUCUGAAGGUAAUGUUACCUACCUAGGUGUUGAUAUGUAUGUAGCAUGUUAAAAACGAAUGAAUUCAUUGCAGGUGUGGUUGGUGGACCAUGGCUGUACAAACCUCCUUAGCACUGAGGACCAGGAGCAGUUGUACACUGGAGACUGUUAUAUCAUACGGUACAGCUAUGUUGAAGAUGGAAAAGAUUACCAUCUUUUCUUUGCUUGGUCUGGUAAGAAUAGUGUAAAGGUACGUUAUUUGUAAUUCUGUGCAUGGAACCUAUUGAUAUUCAGAGAAGAUGCUGUUACAAACAUGGUCCACAACUAUUAAGAUCCAGAUCUAUUGCUUGUCUCUGUUUACACAUACAUGUGCAAUUUCACUGUUUUGCAUGUUACUUAACUUAGCCUGUUCAUUUAUCUGCAGGACGAUAGCAUGUUGGCAACAUCGUUAAUGUCUAGCAUGGCUGAUUCAGUCAAAGGGCAUCCAGUUGUGGUCGGUUAAUUCAGCCUUUCACCCCUAAAAUAAUGCACACAUCUCUACACUUGCUCUGUUAUCACUUCAUUUGCAAAAUAUAUCUCAGGCAAAAGUUUUCGAGGGCAGAGAACCAGAAUUGUUUUUCUCGGUGUUCAAGUCACUAAUCAUAUUCAAGGUACGCAAUGCACGUUCAUAAGUGUUUUCCUUGAAUAUUAAUUAUAAAAAUAGGAGCGAAGCAAAUGAAUAACAUGGAAAUUAAUGCUUUGAGUCAGUGCAAAACUUGGAUAUUACUACUUGAAUUUGUUUUUUCUUUCCAGGGGGGCAGGAGUGCUGCAUAUAAGAGUUCUGUUCUACAGAAAAAUCCUAGAAAUGGAUAUCAUCAGAAGGAAGGAGUCGCCCUGUUCCGUGUUCAAGGCCUUAAACAUGAUUGUGUGCAAGCCAUUCAAGUUGAUCUGGUGAGUUUGGUAAAAAUAAGGACCAUACGCACAGUCUGCUUCAGUAGUAUGAAUCAUACAUACAUUACUUUGAUGCUGCUCUAAAAUCUUUUCUUGUGCAUGGAUUACUUAACUAAAAUGCAGGCUGCAAGUUCACUUAAUUCCUCGCACUGUUAUAUUUUGGAAGACAAUGGUUUGUUCCUUACCUGGUUAGGAAGCCUCUCUUCACCAAACGAUCAUAAUAUUCUUGACUUGAUGAUGAACAAGUUGUGUGUAAGGAGAAUACGGCAUGCAAAUCCUUCUUUUCUUCUCAGUGAAUCGGUGAUGAAUAUUGAGUCUUAUGUAGCAUAUAUAUUCUAUUCUGAACUAUUGUAGCACUGUUUUUGCAGCCAAUGAAACAGUCCUUGCUAGUCAGAGAAGGCUCUGAGCCGGAUCACUUCUGGAUAGCUUUGGGAGGACGAUCAGAGUACUCGAAAGAAAAGCGCGUGAAGGGUUGGCCAGCAGAUCCACAUCUGUAUGCUUGUAGAUUUGAACAAGGUAUGCAGACAUUUUACACUGAACUUUAGAUAAUAUUGUUAUAUCGUUGCAUAGAAUGUGUCUCUAAGCCCAAAGGAUGAUCUCUUUGCAGGUUUGCUCAAGGUGAGUGCUACCUUACUCCUUCCAGUGACAAACUAACUAGUAACUUGCAGGAUCUGAAUCAAAUGCCAAAUAAAACCUGUUUCGGUUCAUCUCUUUAAGGUCAAGGAGGUAUUCAGCUUCUGUCAGGAUGACCUGGCAACUGAAGCGACAUUGAUUCUGGACUGCGAUGAAGAAAUCUACGUUUGGGUUGGGCUACACUCAGACAUUACAUCCAAGGAGCAAGCCCUGAAUAUUGGCAAGGUCACUAGUGAUUCAGAACUAUGAUUUGUUAUUGAUUCAGGGACAAUGCCCUUUGAAACCCAACUUUUCUGUUUCUUUCUACAUACAUGCAGAUGUUCCUUCAGGAUGGCAUUUUUCACAGUGGAAGAUCGAUUGAAACGACGGUGUAUACAGUCACAGAAGGGGACGAGCCUGUAUUUUUCACCAAUUUCUUCAACAACUGGGACAAUUCCAAGCAAUCAUCUGUAAGUUCUAAGCACAGAUAUGGUGGAUAAUUCAAGAUCUCAUAAACUGCAUCUGUCCAAUUCAUCAAUGCAUAUAAACAAAGUCACCGGUUGACAAGUCUGGUUUCUGUUGUACAUGCAGAUGGUUGGCAACUCAUUUGAGAGGAAGCUGGCCGUCCUGAAAGGAGUCUCUCCAAAACUAGAGGUUUUUUUUUUUUUUUUUUUUUUACUUUUUCUGAAUGCUGCCACUUCAUUCAACCGUUGGUCGACAAAAUUCCUACAUGUAUAAAAUCCCUACAUUAUUGUCAUGGUAUUGAGAGUUUGAGACUCUGUUUUCGGUUGCCUGUGACGCAGACACCGGACAGAAGCAUGCGCAGGCCGCCAUCGAGGAGGCCCGGGGUAUCGUCGGAGCCGACCACGCCGGAGCACCAACACCAGCAGCCGACGGCGAGGAGGGCCUUUGGCUCCGCGUCUGCCGGGAGGUUUGGCAGGGAGCGCUCACCAGCUGCCGCACCGCCAAUGUCAUCGCCAUCUCCCAAAAGCCGCUCGACGUCGUCCACGCCCACCGCGGUGGCACGGCGGCUCUUCCCUGCCUCGGUGCACGCAUCGGAGGCCGUGCACGUCGUCUCCACGGGGACGACAGCUCGACGACGGUGAGAGAGGAGAGCUGCACGGAAUGACGGAAGACGACGUGUAUGCAUGUGUAACCGUGCUCGAUUGAAACCAUGUAAUGUAGAGACAGUAGAGUUGUACUAAUCACCGGUGUGCGUACGUAUUUUGUUUAAGGAAUUUACCUGUCAGGCUGUGAUACCCCAAAAUACAGAAUUCUCCUGUCGUGCACGACUGAAUCUAAUAAGUACUACCGUCGUUCCAAAAAAAAAAAAACCCUCCUACAAUUCUAGAUUCAUUCUCAAUCUGAACUUUGAACAAAUGUAUAGAUAAGAAUAUUAGUAAUAACAACGCCAAAUAAGUACUCAAUCCAUCGAUUUUUCUAAUAUUAAGUUUGACCACUCGUCUUAUUCACAGUUUUGUACAAAAUAUUAAUUUUUUGCUGUGUAUUGGUUUAUUAAUAAAAGUUCUUCAAGAAUGACUUAAAUUUGAAUAUAUUUGCAUAAUUUUUUUAAAUAAGUCGAGUGGUCAAACUAGCGGUAAAAAAAGUCAAACGACUUACAAUUUGGGAUGGAGGGAGUAUAUUAUAAAAAUAUGUUUCAUGACAAAUCUAAUACUAGUACAUAUUUAGUACGAUAAAUAUUAUUUUUAUAUAAAUAUAAAUUUAGUUAAACUUAAUCCAAUUUAACAUAACAAUUACAAAAUUGCAUGUUUUUUGGGACUAGAUUUCUCAUAUUUCUAAAAGUUUCCAACAUGUAGUUAAUAGCUAACCGUUUAGUUAUAGAAAAUAUUUUUUCCGAAACAAAUGUCUGGUAUCGGUUAUACAAUUUCGUAUGUCGUAGUCAUGCUCAACUAAUAAUAACACUUUUAGUGUUUUACAGUGCAAAAUUCUAAUUUCAAUUUCGGUAGGUUUCGAUCGAGCAUUUUCUUUUAACAAAAUCAAACAUGUAUGGAACUCAAAUCUAUUCUGGGUGAGCCCAACUCAUUUUAUAUCUCCUCUGUUGUUCUCUCCUAAACCGGGCCAAAUUCAUUUUCUCCACUGGGCCGACCAUCUGACUAACUGGGCCGGGGCCCUGUUUGUCAUCUCUUCUCUAGUAGGGUGUUGUCUCCUUUUUUUUUGUGUGUGUCUUUUUGUGCAGUGUUUUGGUAAGCUUUGAACUUGCUAAUAUGUACUGUAUAAGUGCUUGUAAUGAAAAAAAUACUACAUGAUUUUUCCUGGUGGAUUAAAAAUGAUUGAUAUGCUACUACCAAAUCAUGAUUGGCUCCUUCACUUCUCCGUGCUGACCCGUUUUAAGAAAAAAAGAGAUCACUAAUGACCCAUUUUUCUUUUGUUCCACAAAAUAGCUUCACCAGUGAAGCUAAAGUUAUUUUUAUUAAAUGGUAUAAAAUAGCUUCGUAGGGAAGAUAGCAGAGAGAAAUACGGAAAAACUGGUAUUUUUAGAUCACUGAAGAGCAUCUCUAUCAGUCUCCCAAUAUAACUCUUCCAAUAAGAUAGUAUUGGGUAGCCCAAUAUCACUUUCUAGAUUUAUUGGGGGAGAUGCUGCAGCAAUACCCUAAUAUAUCUCCCCUAAUACCGGUAUAAAAGGUGAGUCACAUAGGACUGUAAAAGAAAAUAUGAAUGAAAAAUGGUAGUUCGGAUGGUCCCCAUGGUACUGGGAGAGUUGUAUCUCCCCUUUCUUUGAGUGAAGAUGAAGGAAAUAUUAGUGGCCACAAGGAGAAGUAUUGGGGGAUUGCGCUGGAGAAGAAAAAAUAGCAUAUUUCUUCAAUAUAAGAGCGGCUCAUAGUAAGAACGGCUGGAAACACCAGCCGCCCUUACAGCGGUCACUAGUAAGAGCAGCUGAGAACACCAGUCGCCCUUAUAGUGGACCACUAUAAGGGCGGCUGAUGUUGAACCGCCUUACAGUGGAAUCCACUAUAAGAGCGUUUGCAUAAGGGCGGCUAUGCCAGCCACCAUUACAGAGCUUAUUUAGUCGCCCCUGUUGUGUCUGACUGUAGUAGUGUUGUCCCAACUUGGGUUCCAAUUAAAAGGCACUUUGGCAUAUGCUAGGUUAAGCAUAUGCAAACAAUUAUAUAAAAAGGUACAUGGUAGUGCUCCUGUCCAUGGCUUAGGUGUGAUCGGUCUCAUUUCUUCUAGAACAAAGAUAAAAAAUGUGUCGAUGUAUGCGAAGUGGUGUAAGAUCCUGUUUGGUAGAGCUCCGACUCGAGCGAAAACAACAGCUUCGGUUGUAUAUAUAGUUUCACCUGCAGAGCAGAUUCACUUGAAGAGCUAAAGCUGUUUUUAGACCGUUUGAUAAAACAGCUCCUUAUUCUAAUGAAAAGAUAUGAAAGGUCUAAAAUACACUUUUUUCUUUUUUUCUCUCCUUCUAUUUUUCUUUAUUUAUUUUUUCUCUCUCUACACCACCGCACCAUCUCACCGCACACAGAUAUCUCUGUUACAAGUGGAAUGCCAAAGUACGAGAACAGAGAGGAAUAGAAUGAACUCGGGGUGUUUCUUUAUUCAUUGAUCACGGGUAUUUAUACAAGUCGGGGGGGAGAGGAAACUCUCGCCCCAAGUAAACUCGAGCCCACGAUGAGUCGUGGGUGAUAUCACGGAGGUGGAACCGGUCUCCACGGGUACGUGCGUAGUCGUGGGUGAUAUCCCGUAGGCGGUCGUGGGGGACGUCGUAGUUAGGAUAGAUCUCCCGUAAGAGGAUCCGAGGAGAUGAGAUCACCCCAGAUAAAAUAUCCGUAACACUCCCCCUUGAUCGAAUCACUUGUUGAGAUCAAUGAAUCAUAUUGCUCCUCCAAAAAUUCCUGUAGGAUAAAAACGAGGAAAAAUACGUGUGUAUAUGUGCUAUAGUAAAACUCCUUAAAACCGCUUGGGAAAAGAAGGAGAAAGUUAUAGCACUUAAUGAUUGCCUCAUUGUAAACUAAUAUGAGAAAACCUUUGCAGGAGAAAAACUCAUGUUGUAGUUUAGAGGACAAUAUGUGUCUUUGAUACCCCUUUAAAAACCCCUGUGGGGAAAACAAGGAAUACGACACUCUUGUGUUAAUAUUAUCUCAUUAAAAACUCCUUAUGAGAAACCUUGUGAGGAAAAACUCAUAGAGAGAAAAGAGUAUAAUAUGAUGGUGUAGACAGGCCAAUGUCUAGGAGAUUUCUCCUCCUGAACUUUGCAAAUCUCUAAGUCGUCGCAUACCAAUUCCUUUGACACAUUUUUCAAAUGAGGAAGCUGGUAGGGACUUAGUGAAUAGAUUAGUGAGAUUGUCGCAUGAUUUGGUUUUCAAGAUAUCAAUCUCUUCUUUUUGUUGUAAUUCAUGAGGAUAGAACAACUUUGGAGAGAUGUGUUUGUUGAUAUUGCUCUUGAUAUAGCCUGUCUCCAUCUGUGUAACACAAGCAGCAUUAUCUUCAUAGAUAAUGGUUGGAGCUAUGAUAGCUUUAAGACCACACGACUGCUGUAUGUGGUUGAUCAUUCUGCGAAGCCAAACGCAUUCACGUGAGGCCUCAUAUAGUGCGACUAUUUCAGAAUGAUUCGUGGACGUUGUUGUCAAGGUUUGCUUGGAUGAUGUCCAUGAUAUGGCGGUUCCGUUUUGUAAGAAUAUGAAACCGGUUUGUGAUCUGCCAUUAUGGGGGUCUGAUUGAUAUCCAGCAUCGGUGUAUCCUAUCAUCUCAGAAUUUGUUCCUCUUUGGAAGAAUAAUCCGAGAUCCCUUGUGCCAUUAACAUAUCUGAGGAUCUGUUUUACUCCUGUCCAAUGUCUCUUGGUAGGAGCGGCACUGUGCCUUGCUAGCAAAUUCACUGCGAAAGCGAUGUCAGGCCUGGUGCUAUUGGCAAGGUACAUCAGUGCUCCAACGGCACUAAGGUAUGGGACAUGAGGUCCUAGGAUUUCCUCCCCCUCAUCUUGUGGUCUGAAUGGAUCAGUGUUUAGUCCCAAAGACCGAACAACCAUAGGGGUUUUGGAAGGAUAUGCUUUGUCCAUAUUGAAUCUCUCCAAUACUUUUUGGACAUAUGCAGAUUGAUGCACAAAGAUUCCAGUUGAAAGAUGCUCAAGCUGUAGGACUAAGCAGAAUUUGGUUUUACCCAAAUCCUUCAACUCGAACUCCGUCUUAAGAUGUUUGCAUGCCUCAUCAAUAUCUUGUUUGUGGCCGAUGAUAUUUAAAUCAUCAACAUACACCGAUAUGAUGCAGAAUCCCGUUUGGGAUUUCUUGAUGAAGACACAUGGGCAAUCAUCACUGUUGGAGUAGCCCUUCUGCAGAAGGUACUCGCUGAGUCGGUUAUACCACAUUCUUCCCGACUGCUUUAAGCCAUAGAGUGAUUUCUGUAGCUUUACACAAUACAUGUUGCGAUUUGCGUUUUGAUUCGGUAUUGGGAUUCCGUCAGGAACCUUCAUGUAUAUGUCCGAAUCGAGUGACCCAUGGAGAUAUGCAGUCACUACGUCCAUCAACUGCAUAGAUAGACGAUUUUGUACAGCCAGAGAGAUUAAGUAUCGGAAUGUUAUUCCACCCAUGACUGGAGAGUAUGUUUCAUUGAAGUCAAUGCCGGGUCUCUGCGUGAACCCUUGUGCUACAAGCCUCGCUUUGUGUCUCACCACCUCAUUGUUCUCGUUCCGCUUUCGGACGAAAACCUACUUGAAUCCCACAGGGAAUACUUGUGGAGGUGUAGGUAUUACUUGUGAGAAUACCUGUCUUUUUGUGAGCGAGGAUAUUUCUGCUUGGAUUGCAUCCUUCCAUUGGUUCCAGUCCGAGCGCGUUUUGCACUCUGCCAUGGUCUUAGGAUCUGGAUCAUUUUCAAGGAUUUCGGCAAUCAUUGCGGAGAAAUAUGAGUCGACAAUUGUAGUCUUUCUAUCAAAUGACUCCCCAGUUUCUGCAUAGUUGAUGGAAAUUUCAUGGACCCUUUCCGAUGCAUUAUCAUUUCCCAAGAUGGUCGCAUCAGGGUAUUCCGAUGUCCCAGCAUCAGUAAUUGAGUGCACUGUUGAUGUGGGAUGUGAAGGUUGAACCUCCACUGGGUGUUUCUCAACAUGAGGUUGAGCUGCAUUUACUAGAUCAGAAGAUUUUGUCUUCCGUUUCCUUUGCUUGCUAGAAGCUGUAUCCGUGGAGAUAGCCGUACUUCUCCCCCCUCUUACUAGGGAGUUGAGUAGUUUUGUUUGGUACCUCUACUCUUUCCGGUACAUUUCUCGCUGGAUUAUAGGAUUUUGUAACACCCUUAUAAUCAGUAAAUGUGUCUGGCACGUUGUUUGCAAUGUGUUGCAAAUUUAUGAUUUUCUGAACUUGAAGUUCAGAUUCUGAAGUACGUGGAUCUGAGUUUGGUAUGUCUGGAGCAUCCCAAUUGAUUUCCUGGCAUUGUUUGUGAUGUGGUAAGUCUCCCCCUAAUGCCGGAAAAUGAUCUUCAUUGAAGAUACAAUCAGCGUACCGGGCCGUAAAGAGGUCCCCUGUGGUGGGCUCUAGAUACUUUAUGAUCGACGGAGAUUUGUAUCCCACAUAGAUCCCCAAUUUUCUAUGGGGCCCAUUGUUGUACACUUCGGUGGUGAGAUCGGUACGUAUGUAGCGCAACCGAACUUUCACAGAUGGGAAAUGCUUGGGGGAUUUCCAUGUACUAGUUGCAACGGGGACGUUGCAUGGUAUGCAGUUGGUCGCAAUUGAAUCAGUUCAGCAGCGUGUAAGACUGCAUGACCCCAACAUGAGGUUGGUAGAUUGCAAUUCUGCAAUAGCGGUCUAGCAAUGAGCUUGAUUCUCUUGAUGAGAGACUCGGCUAACCCAUUUUGUGUGUGGACAUAUGGGACAGAAUGUUGUACUUGUAUUCCUAAGGCCAUACAAUAGUCAUUGAAGGCUCGAGAGGAAAAUUCAGCAGCGUUAUCCAUCCUAAUGGAUUUUAUUAGAUGUUCAGGAUGUUGCGCUUUGAGUUUGAUAACUUGCGCAAUUAUUUUGGCAAAAGCAUGGUUUCGUGUCGAUAGCAGAGACAUAUGAGACCAUCGUGUGGAUGCGUCUAUUAGAACCAUGAAGUACCUGAACGGUCCCGAUAAAGGAUUUAUCGGGCCACAUAUGUCCCCUUGAAUGCGUUCAAGGAAGUUGAGUGGUUCAACUUUGAUUUUGAGGAAAGAGGGCCUCAAAAUUAAUUUCCCUGUUGCACAUGCAGUGCAAGUAUAAUCUGAGGAUUGGAGAAAUUUUGCAUUGGUUAGCGAGUGACCAACAGAAUUGCUAGUAAUUUUUCUCAACAUCCCUAUGCCAGGGUGACCAAGGCGAUCAUGCCAAGUUUGGAAUGCAUUGACAUUCUGAAAAAUUACUUUGUACGCAACAUGUUGUACGGGUUUUAUGUAUGAAUAGUACAAUCCAGACGAAGUUGAGGGAAUUCUUUCGAGAGUAUCUCUGCCAUAUCCGUUAUCCUUUGUAAUGAGGAGGAACUCCUCAUUAUUUUGGUGAUGGGUUUCGAUAUGAUACCCAUUUUUGCGGAUAUCUCUAUAACUCAAUAAGGUACGAGUUGAAUCAGGAUACAAAAGUGCAUCCUCGAUUGUAAUUGUUGUACCCAUAGGGAGCGUAAUAAUGGCUCUUCCAGAGCCUGCUAUUACGGCAUCGCGUCCAGCGAUUGUUAAAACAUUUCCUUUGCUCUUUGUGAGAGUUUGGAAAUAUUUUAUUUCCCUGAGUAUAGAGUUAGUGGUGCCACUGUCCACUAGGCACAUUCCUCAUCCAUCGGAUUGACUCCCGUACAAUCUAUGAAAAAUAGAGAAUAUAAAAGAGAAUGAAAUUCUCAACAUGAAUAUAUAUGAAAUAUAAACAUUUAUUGAUGUUGAAUUGUGCAUAAGUCAAUGAACAUCAAACAGAGUGCAGCAAAAACAAAUUGUCAAUUAUUACAAUCCCGAAGGCGAAUGAUGAAAUUAAAAUCUCAAAUGACUAUCAAUCUAGUUGUAGUCGCCGAACAGAUCAUCAGAAUUGUAUUCGAUGAUCAUGUUGUUGGUGGAGUCAUUUGCCAUGCCAUCAGGUGGAAGAGGCGCCAUUGUGUUGCUCGGUCCCGCUGGGGCGGGGUUGGAACAUCCUGGGGCUGCCAGAUCGUUGAAGUGUGCUUCAGACGGUUGUCCACCUUGGUUGGAGCGUCCUUGGUUGGAGCGUCCUCGUCCCACGGAAUGCAAGUACAGUUCCACAAGUUGCUUAGGGGUGCGACAUUUCUUAGUCGGGUGGUUGUAGCAACCACACUUUGUACAAGUUGAGUACUUGUAUUUUGACUUAGAGUUGUUGCCUUUGCCCUUAGCACCUCGAGGCUUACGGGGUCCCUUGCGCUUGUUUUUGCCUUUGGAGGAUCUAGGAUUGCCAUUUUUGUUGGCAUCCUUUGGUGUCUGUUUCUGAGCAUUUGCAUGUACUUCGGGCAAGGGCUUGGCACCGACAGGGCCUUGAUUGGAGUUCCAUAUGAGGAGCUCAUUGUGCCUCUCAGCCUGAAGUAAUGUUUUAAUGAGAUCAGAAUAGACUAUGAAUCCCCUCUCACAGUAUUGCUGUUGGAGGAUCAUUUGAGCGGGAAGCAUGGUAGACAAGGUCUUUUCAAUUUUCUCCGCAUCAGAUGGCUCCUUUUCACAAAACCUCAGUUUGGAACUGAGUUUGUGCAUGGCAUGGUUAUAUUCAUUCACAGAUUUGAAAUCUUGAAUGCGGAGGUGGUUCCACUCAUGAGUGGCCUCCGGGAGAAUAACUGCCUUUUGUUGCUCAUACCGCUGUUGCAAAAGCAAGCCAGAGAGCCCGUGGGUCCUCUUCCAUCAGAUAUUCAGCUUUGAGAUCUGAAUGGAUGUGGUUCCUUAUUAUGUAUAAGGCAUGGUACUUAGAUGGUUCAGACAAUGGAGCAUCUCCCUGUUUGGGAGUGUCAAUUGCCCUAUACAUUCCGCAUAACGAUAGACUCACUUUGAGAUCCAUCGCCCAUGUAGGGAAGUUGUGUCCAUCAAGAGCUAGCUCGGCAAAUUCCUUCUUAGAAGAAACUUGGGCAUCGGACUCUUUGGUGGCCAUUGCCUACAUGUUUGUUUGCAUAAAUUUAAUUAAUUUUAGGGUUGUAAAAUUAACAAGAAUGUAAUUGCAUAUUUAUAUAACAAUGUAAAUUGCGUAUAUAAAAACAAUGUAAAAUUGCAUAUGUAAAGCAAUGUAAAAUUGCGUAUGUAAGACAACGUAAAAUUGCGUAUGUAAAGCAAUGUAAAAUUACGUAUGUAAAGCAAUGUAAAAUUGCAUAUGUAAAUAACAAGGUAGACUUGUUUAUGUGUAGCAAGGUAAACUUGCAUAUGUUUUAUGGAAUUUUGAUUUCUCAUUUUGUGGAACAUAGGUAGUCACCAUGGAGGUGUAGACCAUUUUAUAUUUUUCACUUUGGGAUGUAGUCCUUGUAUGUUUAUUAUUAAAUUUGGAAGAGCACUUUGAGGAAUAAAUCCCGCAGUAGUAUGAGUACUACCUUGUGGUCGCCAAAAUAAUAAUAAAGUAAGGUGACAUCUAGUGAAAAAUAGUAUUCCAAAUAGGGAGAAAAAUUGACCAUAAAAAUAUUUACAUAUGUACAUGUGAUAGGGAAUUGUAAAGACAAAACACGUUCGACAUGUAACGAAUUUUUCAUUCAUAAUAUAAUUGCGGAAUGUAAAAAUAUUUACAAUGCAAUGUAUACAUCAGUGUCUAAAUUUACAAGAAAAUUAGACUAAAAAGCUGAUGUAAUUUUAGGGAAUGAAAAAUGCUAUGUAAAUAAAUAAAUAAAAUUAGCUAAUGCUUAAAAAUGAAAAGCCAAUAAUAACUGGCCCAGGCUGAAAGCUCGCAGGCCCUAACCUGGGCCUGGGCCACCAAUUUGGCCCAAUUGGAGGAGGGGGGAGUGGGCCAUAUAUAAGCCAGGGGUUAGGGUUUGCCCCAGCUUCCCAAGCCGCCGCCGCCAGCCACCAGGGGCUCUGCCCCAAGCCGCCGCCGAGAGCAGGGGGGGCGCCCCAGCACGUGGGGCCCGUGGGGCCGCGUCGGUCCGCGCGCCCGUGUGGGGCCGACUGCAGUGGAGUGGCUGGCCGUGGUCGUGGCGCAGGUGUGGGGCCGACUGCGCGAGGCCGAGCGUGGGCGCGCCGUCGUGCCGCGCCCGCGCCCUGGAGCUGCGGUAAGCCAAGGCGGGCGUCGCGCGGAGCCUUCGCUCGGGGCGGUGAAGCCGCGCAGCGGCGCGGGCAGGGGGCCGUGCCACGCGCGCGGGCGAGCGAGGGCCGCGCCGCCAAGCCGCCGUGCCGAGGCCGAGCAGGCAGGCGUCGCGCGGAGCCGCCGCUCGGGACCGGUCGUCGUGCCACGCUACGGGGCCGAGCAGGGUCGCGAGACGGCCGACGCCUCCUUGCCGUGGUGCCGCUCGUAGGAGGACCGCGGCAAGGCCACACGAGGGCGACCAUGCCGAGCAGCGACAGCUCGACCUCCUCCUCCCCCUCCCCCGUGGAAGAGCUCAAGCCAGGUGAGCGCGUCCCCGAGCCGAAGGCCCGUGGGGGACGUUGAUCCACGUGCGGCGGAGACGCGGGGGCGGAGUUGGUGGCGGCGGCGGUGGAGCAGCGAGCGCCGGGUCGACGAAGUACGCCGACAGACGAGUUGGCGCCGACAUCCGCGCCGCUAUGGUCGGUGGAGACGGACGGCGCGGAGGCGGACUGUGCGCAGCACACUCGGAAGACGGUGUCGGCGUCGGGUACCGAAUCGGCGACUGCGGCUCUAUGCCCAGUGACAGCCAUUGGCUGGCCACCAUAGAUGGUGGCGGUGGUGGGCACGGGCCGUCGCCGUGGAGUGGGCACCGAGGCCGGGGUGGAGCCGGCAAGGCGAGGACCGGCGCUGGAGGCGCCGGUGGAGUUGGUGCCCUCGACGGUGGUGCCGCGGGCGGAGCCGCGGAUGGCGCCGCGGGCGAAGCCGUGGACGACACCACCGAACGCCGUGACGGAGGGGCUACGUUUGCACGUCGGUGUCCCCCGAAACGACGUCGUACAGGAAAACGCUCGGGGUUCCUGUCGAGAUCACGGCGUUCGCCCCGAAAGCGAUAGCCGCGAGCCUCUCCAAGGAGUUCCCGGAUGUCCUCCAGUAGUUCCGCCUGAAGGCGGUUGUUGCCGAAGUGUGUGCCCAAUGUCCGGGCAUGGUUCAUCGCCAUCCAGACGACUUGUAGGAUGAGAGAAGCCAUUGAGGCAGGAUUACGGCGAGGGAAAGGCAUGAUUCUACCUUGGGGUGAUGCCCUGGGCGAAGGUCGAUCCCUCGACGAUGUUCUAUCCAACCGAGCUAUUUCCCUCUGGGGUAGGGGAGAGCGAUGUGCUGAUAACGUGUUACAAGUGGAAUGCCAAAGUACGAGAACAGAGAGGAAUAGAAUGAACUCGGGGUGUUUCUUUAUUCAUUGAUCACGGGUAUUUAUACAAGUCGGGGGGAGAGGAAACUCUCGCCCCAAGUAAACUCGAGCCCACGAUGAGUCGUGGGUGAUAUCACGGAGGUGGAACCGGUCUCCACGGGUACGUGCGUAGUCGUGGGUGAUAUCCCGUAGGCGGUCGUGGGGGACGUCGUAGUUAGCAUAGAUCUCCCGUAAGAGGAUCCGAGGAGAUGAGAUCACCCCGGAUAAAAUAUCCUUAACAAUCUCUUCUCGAUUGUCGCUCCCAUCCGCAACCUGCAUCCACUUCCUCAUGCCGUCGCAUCUCCUCUCCGCUCUUCGUAGCUCCAUGGACAGCCACACCCGCGCCCCGUGCUCGCGCUUUCACGCUGAGGGCAAACUUGCCCAGGGCCCACGCAUCUGACAGGGAGCCAAGGGAAGCUCGAUUUUUCAGCUCCAUCUUCCAUCUUCGUUCUCUCUUACCGUAAUCUACGGGACUUUUUUCAUGGAGCUGAUGUCAUAUUAUUGGACCCGUUUGGUAGUUGGAGCCGUAAAACAGCUACCGGAGCCGGUCUGGGAGCGCUACCAAACGGCCCCUUACCCUGGCUAAUUCACUGAUCAGCUGAAUUGUGAGCACAGUUUCAAAGAGUACAAGACUACAAUCUAGAGUCCACAUCUAGAGUCCACAUACAUAGAUAUGCUUGACAUUAUUGAAAUAUACUACUUCCCAAGCUCUUAAACUAUUCAGCUACUUGGCUUGCCUAAAGGGGUGUUUGGUUAGGGUUGUUAAAGUUUAACAUAUAUUGUAGCAUUUUAUGUUUUAUUUGAUAAUUACUGUCCAAUCAUAGAACUCAAAAUAUUCGUCUCAUAAAUUACUCUCUAGCUAUGUUUUUAGUUUCGUAAAUAAUUUAUAUUUAGUAUUUCAUGUAUGUGUCUAAACAUUCGAUGUGACGGGCAGUAAACUUUAACGGACGCAACCCAAGAGCACUUGUUCACAAUGAAAUGAGUGCGCGGUAGACAGUAGCAGCCAAAAGCUAAUAAAGAUUUCAAGACAAUCAGAGCUCCUAGCCUGUUGCGAUAUGAUGCUGCAGAAAUUGAUUUUUCAAGACCAUCAGAGCUCCUAGCCUGUUGCGAUGCUGCAGAAAUUGAUUUUUCAACAACCCCUCCGUAUUUUAGUAGACGGUGGCUCUAUCUGGGCCAUACUUAGGCAAGGCUUUGGCACGCUGGGCUCUUGGGCUCAAUACAAAAGCAGGCCAUGAGAUGCAUGGGCAUUCUGGUCUGCCCAUAUAUAAAAUAUGGAGAGGAGGCAUGUGCAUAUCUUUACCUAAUAUGUAAACAUGAAAAUUUUAGGCCUUGUUCAGUUCGCAAAAACUUCUGAAAAACGGCACUGUAGCACUUUCGUUUUUAUUUGACAAACAUUGUCCAAUCAUAGAGUAACUAGACUCAAAAGAUUCAUCUCGCGGUUUACAGAUGAACUGUGCAAAUAGUUUUUAUUUUCAUGUAUAUUUAAUGCUCCAUGCAUAUGCCGUAAGAUUCGAUGUGACGGGGAAUCUUGAAAAAUUUUGGAAACUAAACAAGGCCUGUAUGCCCUGUAACUCUAUCCGCCCUUUCUAGAAGUUAACGUACGCAAAACAGCAACCUCGCAACAUGGAAGGGUCUAGGUCUCACUCGGACAUCCAGGCAGGAGAGGAGUUGACACCGAGCCGCGUCAGUGAGGAGGGCCAAGUUCCGGCUGACUUUCUUGGAGCGGAACCUGAGCCCACGCUCGGGAGGCGCGCCCUAUCCCGGAGGCCGGAGAGGAGGAAGACGCCCGUGGCUCUUACGGAUUCCCCCGGCUCCCCUGCUCUGCUCUGUGGCUCCGACACGCCGCCGGUCCCAGCCCCGAGGUUAGUGGCCUUGAGAUUUUGCUUUGCUUUUGAGAUUUGAACUGAGGCCUUGUUCGGAUGUGAAAAAAUUUUGGAUUUCGCUACUGUAGCACUUUCGUUUGUUUGUGGUAAAUAUUGUCCAAUCAUAGACUAACUAGGGUCAAAAGAUUCGUCUCGCGAUUUACAGUCAAACUGUGUGAUUAGUUUUUAUUUUCGUCUAUAUUUAAUGUUUCAUGCAUAUGCCGCAAGAUUCGAAGUGACAGGAAAUCUUAAAAAAAUUUUGGAUUUCGAGGUGAACUAAACAAGGCCUGAUUACAAGCUAGCUUGCCGUGUUGAAUUUGCUUUCCUAUGUGAGAACUGUGCAGCUGGCUAGGAUUAUAGUGUUGGUUUUCGAAACUACAUGGUGGGGAAGAGAAUGCAGGUUAUUGGACAGAGAAAAAUAAUCAAGCUAGCUUUUUUUUGGGAGAAUGUACACAUGUUGAGAACUCCAUGAACUGGUCUGGCUGCUGGCUUCUAAUAAACAUCAAGGGCUGCACGUGCUUUGGGUCGAACGAUACCUCGUGAAAUUCUAUACUGUGCAGUUUUAAAUAUUUUUAGUUAUAUUUCAGUCUAAAAAUCCAUGUAUGGCUUGUAGCACUAGAGAAAGAAAGUAGGGGCAUAUAGAGACAGUGAUGUUUGUUUCCCAUCUUCCACCAGCUCUGUUGCUCUUGUUUUUUCUCUGGUAGGAUAAUAAUUAUGUUAUGACAUGGUUUGUCGCUACGAGUGGUAUUCAACAUUUUAGUCUUGUCAAUGGCCUGCAAGUUUUUUUUAAAUGUUUGAUGAUGUUUAUGUUCAAUUCUCUCUGUUUGGUGUACUGGAUCUGCUGCGACGUACUUUCAGUAUGAGGGAAGUAGGGAGCAGCCUACCUGUCGAGUGAGGAGAGUGCAUGGGUUCACAAUGCUUCAGGUUUAUAAAAUGCUGUUUACAUGGCCCAUUCCAAAUAAAACGGUUUACUGUAGUUUAGACGCAAGUUAUUCUAACUCGUAUGAGCAUGAGUUAUAUAUAUAAGUCCAGAUAAAAAAAACUCUUCAUUGUUCGGUAGUUAGAGGGAGACAGACAAAAAAAAUGGAUGGACCAAAAAAGAGCCUGAAUUUUAUAUAUAUAUAUAUAUAUAUAUAUAUAUAUAUAGAGAGAGAGAGAGAGAGAGAGAGAGAUAAAUUUGAUAGCUUUUUUUUCUCCCGUAGCAACGCACUGGCAUUUUUGCUAGUUAUAAUAACAAUAUAAAUAAAUUGUCCACGCAUGUGAGAUGGUGUGAGCUACCUGCUACCAUGGCUUAGCUAUAGUUAAAUUUAGUCCAGUGAAGAUCUGCUGAACAGAACAGUACGUGAGCUGAGGGAAGCAGUCACAAACAACAGAGAAGUACAAGGGUGCACAUGGACAUGCUUCACAAUUUCGAUACAUUCUUCCAAGCACUCCAACUGUUCAGCAACGUGGCCUGCAUGCUGCCAUGUCCAUGUUCAUCUUCAUGUCCAUGUAGACGAGAGUGGAUGCAUGCAUAUAUAUUCAACUAUAUACUAGUGAAGAAGCUUAUUGCUGUUUAUUUCAUCCAAUUAUUGCAAUGAUACACGUACGUGGAAAUGAACACACAGACACACGGUACAUAUGCUUGAUUUCCUCUCGCGCUGCACAGUCCAUCCAUACACAGAGAUCGACACACGCAGCCACAACAUCCAAAAGCUAGCAAAACCUCUCAUCUUCAUCCAUCAGACGACCUCCUCCUCCUUGCCGGCGACGACGACGCUGCCGAGGCGGACGGCGUUGACGUAGUCCCUAGGGCUAUGCGACGCGAUGCCGGGCACGAGCAGUCCAGUGGCACGGUAGAGCAACGAGACGGCGCCCUCCCUGUAAUCCUUGCCCUCCUUGGUCCACAGGAACGCGCCCUUGAACAGAUCCCCCCACGCAUUCCCAUACAUGGACAGCAGGUACCUCGGGUUGAAGUAGUUCGGGUUCGGCGCGUCGCCGCCGUUGGCGAUCUCCCGUCCCUUGUACCACCCGUCGAAGUAGACGCAUGUCCCGCCGUGCGCGAACUCGGCGACGGGCGGCGCGUCGAAGGGCACCCGGGGCACGACGUCGUAGCGGUACACCACGCGGAGCGGCUCCACGGGCACGUUCCCGCGCACGUACGCCGCGAACACCUUGUCGCCGACGCGAGGCUGCCCGUAGGUGACCACGGACAGGAGCCUGUCCAGGAUGUCGCGCUCGCCGUGGAACGCCAGCAGCGCCGGGAAGAUCGCCGCCAGCGCGCCGCCCAGGCUGUGGCCCGUGAUCACCACGUUGGCGUUCGGGUGCUUCUUCAGCUGCGCGCGG